Molecule: ribosomal RNA, 772 nt
Filed under: uncultured bacterium
Lineage: Bacteria
Description: bacterial SSU rRNA
Rfam family: Bacterial small subunit ribosomal RNA
Source: RNAcentral
AGAGUUUGAUCCUGGCUCAGGACGAACCUGGCGGCGUGCUUAACACAUGCAAGUCGAACGGUGAACCUGCUUCGGUGGGGGAUCAGUGGCGAACGGGUGAGUAACACGUGGGCAACCUGCCCCUGGCUCUGGGAUAACUCCAAGAAAUUGGGGCUAAUACCGGAUAUGACCCUGACCGCAUGGUCUGGUGGUGGAAAGAUUUAUCGGCUGGGGAUGGGCCCGCGGCCUAUCAGCUUGUUGGUGGGGUAGUGGCCUACCAAGGCGACGACGGGUAGCCGGCCUGAGAGGGUGACCGGCCACACUGGGACUGAGACACGGCCCAGACUCCUACGGGAGGCAGCAGUGGGGAAUAUUGCGCAAUGGGCGAAAGCCUGACGCAGCGACGCCGCGUGGGGGAUGACGGCCUUCGGGUUGUAAACCUCUUUCAGCAGGGACGAAGCGGAAGUGACGGUACCUGCAGAAGAAGCACCGGCCAACUACGUGCCAGCAGCCGCGGUAAUACGUAGGGUGCAAGCGUUGUCCGGAAUUAUUGGGCGUAAAGAGCUCGUAGGCGGUUCGUCGCGUCGGCUGUGAAAUCCCGAGGCUCAACCUCGGGUCUGCAGUCGAUACGGGCGGACUUGAGUUCGGCAGGGGAGACUGGAAUUCCUGGUGUAGCGGUGAAAUGCGCAGAUAUCAGGAGGAACACCGGUGGCGAAGGCGGGUCUCUGGGCCGAUACUGACGCUGAGGAGCGAAAGCGUGGGGAGCGAACAGGAUUAGAUACCCNNGUAGUCC